GGGCAGAGAAAGUAAAGGCAAGCCAUUUAACUCAUUAGAAAGAAAACGCAAACCAAAGAGAACCCUAAUCGCCGUCUCUCUCUCGUCUCAACUCAGUCGCCACCGCACUCAGUCGCCACCGCACUCAGUCACCACCGUAUCUCUUCAACUCAGUCGCCAGCGUCUCAUCUCAACACGAUUCACCACCGCCUCGUUUCUAUCGGUAUGAAAUUUCUCGCCCCCGUUUCGUUGACACUUCUUUGUCUCCUCCGAUUCAUGCAAUUUCUCGCCCCCUUUAUCUGUUCACGUGAGAAUCUGGCAUUUUUAGUUAGUUCACACUUCACAUCGUUAUUCUUGACUGUGUAUAUAUCUUAAUAGUUCACACUUCACAUUGUUAUUUUCACUCUAUUAUUCAGUGUUUGUUACCCACUUCACAUGCUUAUGUAGCUAACACUUCCCUGAUGAUUAUAUAUGUCAUGUUGCUGUUUGGAUUUAAUUUCUUGCUAGGAAAUAUGGUGGAAUCAAGAUUGAAGAAAUAGAUGGUAUCCAAACCAAUGACACAGAUUUGGAAGAUGACCAGCUGUUGAUAUAAUUUGAAGAAGAUUUUGAUGACAAUGAUUCAACUAAUGAAGAUGUUCCAAAUGAUCAUAUUGAACCUGAUUAUGAUUAAAUUUGUUUAUUGUUUUUUUUUCUUCUUUCUUUUGGUUGAAAAGAUGUCAGGUAUUGGUAAACCAAGAGGACUGCAUAAACGAUUUGUGGAUAAAGGGAAUGGAAAGAAAGUUCCAACCAUUUCUACUAGUUUGGAGCAAAGGAACACUGCUAUGCACACAACUUCAGUGUCACACUAGGAAGGGAAGACAACUUUGUUGAUAAGAGAUCAAGUGAUGCAUAUGAUAACAUUGUAAAUCUAUGUUCACAAGUUGAGACUAGUGGCACUCAACCCAAGCCAAUUGGUAUGGAUGGAAGCAUGCUCACCCAUGGCUCAACAUCUCAAUCAAAUAAAUAUUCAAAUUAUGUUGAUAUUGUUCAUGGCAUGAGUGGAGAGGUUGAUGCGGGACUACGACAACAAUUGAUAUUUGGAUUUAAUGGAUUUGGAUGAAGAUGAUCCUUCUGUUGGUAUUGUUAGUCGUGGAAGCAAUGCCAUUGAUGGUUCAAAUGCUAAUGAGUAGUAAUAUUGAUGACUUUGGAUUAGAACUUAAAAAUUAUUGAAAGUUUGAUAUUUUGUAGGCACAUUCAAGUUAUUUGAACUUUAACCUUUUGAAUGUAAUGAUAAAAGUUUGAUAUUUGGA
This is a long non-coding RNA of Trifolium pratense (red clover), 1268 nucleotides long. RefSeq lists it as uncharacterized. The record is from RefSeq and is a predicted model, not a curated record. Lineage: Eukaryota; Viridiplantae; Streptophyta; Magnoliopsida; Fabales; Fabaceae. The transcript is spliced from 3 exons.